GAUGAACGCUGGCGGCGUGCCUAAUACAUGCCAGUCGAGCGAACAGACGAGGAGCUUGCUCCUCUGACGUUAGCGGCGGACGUGUGAGUAACACGUGGAUAACCUACCUAUAAGACUGGGAUAACUUCGGGAAACCGGAGCUAAUACCGGAUAAUAUAUUGAACCGCAUGGUUCAAUAGUGAAAGACGGUGUUGCUGUCACUUAUAGAUGGAUCCGCGCCGCAUUAGCUAGUUGGUAAGGUAACGGCUUACCAAGGCAACGAUGCGUAGCCGACCUGAGAGGGUGAUCGGCCACACUGGAACUGAGACACGGUCCAGACUCCUACGGGAGGCAGCAGUAGGGAAUCUUCCGCAAUGGGCGAAAGCCUGACGGAGCAACGCCGAGUGAGUGAUGAAGGUCUUCGGAUCGUAAAACUCUGUUAUUAGGGAAGAACAAAUGUGUAAGUAACUAUGCACGUCUUGACGGUACCUAAUCAGAAAGCCACGGCUAACUACGUG
This 497-nucleotide ribosomal RNA is filed under the name uncultured bacterium. RNAcentral describes it as "partial 16S ribosomal RNA". It matches the Rfam family "Bacterial small subunit ribosomal RNA", at positions 28 to 507 of the family's 1533-position model. The record is from RNAcentral.